This 125-nucleotide small RNA is filed under the name Marmota monax (woodchuck). Lineage: Eukaryota; Metazoa; Chordata; Mammalia; Rodentia; Sciuridae. The record is from RNAcentral.
GCCAGGUGCACUGGCACACACCUAUAAUCCUAGCAACUCGGGAGGCUGAGGCAAGAGGAUCAUGGGUUCAAAGCGAGCCUCGGCAACAGCGAGGCACUAAGCAACUCAGUGAGACCCUGUCUCUA